Molecule: unclassified non-coding RNA, 196 nt
Rfam family: Eukaryotic small subunit ribosomal RNA (bases 1-46)
AAGUCGUAACAAGGUUUCCGUAGGUGAACCUGCGGAAGGAUCAUUACAAAUUUUCAUAUAUUAAAUUUAUUUAAUAUAUAAAAUUAUAUACAAAAAUGUAUUCAAAACCCACACACUUAUAACCAUAAAAAAAUAUAUAUUAUAUAUUUAUAAUAUAAUAAAAAAACAACUUUCAACAACGGAUCUCUUGGCUCUC